This 481-nucleotide ribosomal RNA is filed under the name uncultured bacterium. Its description in RNAcentral is "partial 16S ribosomal RNA". It matches the Rfam family "Bacterial small subunit ribosomal RNA", at positions 28 to 507 of the family's 1533-position model. The record is from RNAcentral.
GAUGAACGCUGGCGGCGUGCUUAACACAUGCAAGUCGAACGAAGCACUUUAUUUGAUUUCCUUCGGGACUGAUUAUUCUGUGACUGAGUGGCGGACGGGUGAGUAACGCGUGGGUAACCUGCCUUGUACAGGGGGAUAACAGUUGGAAACGGCUGCUAAUACCGCAUAAGCGCACAGCAUCGCAUGAUGCAGUGUGAAAAACUCCGGUGGUAUAAGAUGGACCCGCGUUGGAUUAGCUAGUUGGUGAGGUAACGGCCCACCAAGGCGACGAUCCAUAGCCGACCUGAGAGGGUGACCGGCCACAUUGGGACUGAGACACGGCCCAAACUCCUACGGGAGGCAGCAGUGGGGAAUAUUGCACAAUGGGCGAAAGCCUGAUGCAGCGACGCCGCGUGAGCGAAGAAGUAUUUCGGUAUGUAAAGCUCUAUCAGCAGGGAAGAUAAUGACGGUACCUGACUAAGAAGCACCGGCUAAAUACGUG